GGGUCGUUCUCCCUCCCAAAUCGCUCUCAGUCACCAUGGCUCUCACCCUUUCACCCUCAUCGAGCCUCUCGCCUCCAUCUCUCUCGUUUUCCCAUCAAAUCUUGACCCUUCUUCUUCCUCCCAGCUGCCGCGUCUUCAGCUUUGAGAUGCGCCACCGCUUCUCCGACCCAGUCAAGUAGUGGUCGGAGGCCGCCGGAAAGCUCUCUCCGGCCGGCGGCACCAACCUUCUCGAGAAGGGCAGCUUCGAGUACUACGCCGAACUCGCCUACUCGACCGCCUCCUCCGCGGCCGCAAGCUCGUCGAGUCCACCGACAGCCUCGCUUUCUCCGACGGC
RNAcentral lists this long non-coding RNA (334 nucleotides) under Rosa chinensis. RNAcentral describes it as "sRNA RchiOBHm_Chr2g0114311". The record is from RNAcentral. Lineage: Eukaryota; Viridiplantae; Streptophyta; Magnoliopsida; Rosales; Rosaceae.